This 253-nucleotide ribosomal RNA is filed under the name uncultured bacterium. RNAcentral describes it as "partial 16S ribosomal RNA". It matches the Rfam family "Bacterial small subunit ribosomal RNA", at positions 524 to 776 of the family's 1533-position model. The record is from RNAcentral.
UACGAAGGAUCCAAGCGUUAUCCGGAUUCAUUGGGUUUAAAGGGUGCGUAGGCGGUCUUAUAAGUCAGUGCUGAAAUAUCCCGGCUUAACCGGGAGGGUGGCAUUGAUACUGUAGGACUUGAGUAGAGUUGAGGUUGGCGGAAUUGACGGUGUAGCGGUGAAAUGCUUAGAUAUCGUCAAGAACACCGAUAGUGAAGACAGCUAACUAAGCUCAAACUGACGCUGAGGCACGAAAGUGUGGGGAUCAAACAGG